Molecule: long non-coding RNA, 680 nt
Organism: Acyrthosiphon pisum (pea aphid)
Lineage: Eukaryota; Metazoa; Arthropoda; Insecta; Hemiptera; Aphididae
Exons: 3
Source: RefSeq, a predicted model, not a curated record
AAUGGAAGUAAAUUACGGACUAUUUGAAAGAAUGCAAUAUAUGUCUCUUCUGUGGCACUGGUUAAGAGUGCAUACACCAUCGGGAAAGACUAAAAAGACACCACUUACAACAUUUUUGUACACAACAUGGAACGUCAUUAAGGAUCCUCUUCUCAAUUGUUUGGGUGUACUUGGAACCGUUUUAAAGGUGCCAUCACAUCCUGCAGACUUGACUAAUUGAAAUUCCUCGCUGAAUCUUUGAAUGAAAUGUAUAUUGGCAAAAAUGGCUCCUACAUACACUCCUUCCAAAAUUAAUGCCUGUUGGAAGAAUGCUGAUGGUGGUUCCUGUAUUGUUGUGGAGUAUUCACUGUGCUCUUGCAUAUUCAAUAAGUUGACCAAUUCUUGAAUUGUUUCAGUAAUUUUCGGUCUUCGGCGGUUCCGCAUUCUUUUGCAUCUAAGCUGCGCUUGUUGGAACGUAUAUCCCCAGCUUCCAUGGGGAUGACUAAAAAGUAUUAAUGUAUAAGAUAUGCCUGAUUGGCAAAGACAUAGCGCCUAUUGUUGUUGAUCGAAUAUAUUUUGUCAUUGGAUAUUGAAUAUGAUAACCAAAUUCUAUUUGCAACUGAACCAUCACCAAACUUUCUUAAAUACCACGAUGGAUGAAAUUUUCGACCAAACUUAUUAGAAGGAAAUUCUUUAUUUGG